CCCUUAGAUGUUCUGGGCCGCACGCGCGCUACACUGAUGCAUUCAACGAGUCCAACCUUGACCGAGAGGUCCGGGUAAUCUUUGAAACUGCAUCGUGAUGGAGCUAGAUUAUUGCAAUUAUUAAUCUUCAACGAGGAAUGCCUAGUAAGCGUGAUUCAUCAAAUCGCGUUGAUUACGUCCCUGCCCUUUGUACACACCGCCCGUCGCUCCUACCGAUUGAGUGUGUUGGUGAGGAGUUUGGAUUGGCCUCGGAAGGUGGUUCGCCACCGUCCGUAGCUGAGAAGUUCUCCAAACCGCCCCACUUGGAGGAAGGAGAAGUCGUAACA
This 326-nucleotide ribosomal RNA is filed under the name uncultured eukaryote. RNAcentral describes it as "partial 18S ribosomal RNA". It matches the Rfam family "Eukaryotic small subunit ribosomal RNA", at positions 1470 to 1796 of the family's 1831-position model. The record is from RNAcentral.